ACGGAGGGUGCAAGCGUUAUCCGGAUUUACUGGGUUUAAAGGGUGCGUAGGUGGGUAAGUAAGUCAGUGGUGAAAUCUCCGAGCUUAACUCGGAAACUGCCUUUGAUACUAUUUAUCUUGAAUAUCCUGGAGGUGAGCGGAAUAUGUCAUGUAGCGGUGAAAUGCUUAGAUAUGACAUAGAACACCAAUUGCGAAGGCAGCUCACUACGGGGUCAUUGACACUGAGGCACGAAAGCGUGGGGAUCAAACAGGA
This 253-nucleotide ribosomal RNA is filed under the name uncultured prokaryote. RNAcentral describes it as "partial 16S ribosomal RNA". It matches the Rfam family "Bacterial small subunit ribosomal RNA", at positions 525 to 777 of the family's 1533-position model. The record is from RNAcentral.